AUGACGCGGAACCCAGUUUUUGUCAUGUCCAACUCACCAGCCACCGAGGCACUGCAGAAGAUGGUCGAAGGCAAAUUUUGGCAUCUUCCUGUAGUGGAGCAUGGUGAGGUCAUUGCAAUGUUGGACAUUACCAAGUUCCUCUGCGAUGCAAUUUCAAGAAUGGAAAAGGCAGCAGAGCAAGGCAGUGCUAUAGCUGCUGCUAUGGAAGGGGUCGAACGGCAGUGGGGAAAUGAAUUUGCAGGUCCGCACACGUUAAUAGAAAAUCUUCGAGACCACAUGUUCAAGCCUUCCUUGUCAACUAUCAUAACUGAAAAUAGCAGUGUUCCAUCGGUGUCUCCAUCGGAUCUGGUAAUUGUAGCUGCCAAAAAGAUGAGAGAGUACCGAGUUAACUCAGUGGUUGUCAUGACAGGGAACAUGCUGCAAGGCAUUCUCACUUCCAAGGAUUUGGUUUUGCGAGUAGUGGCACAAAAUCUGUCCCCAGAGGUGACUCUCGUAGAAAAGGUCAUGACUGCAAGUCCUGAUUGUGCUACAUUGGACACAUCAAUCCUCGAGGCUCUACAAUCAAUGCAAGAUAGAAAAUAUCGUCAUAUUCUUGUUGCGGGCAAAAAAUUUCUGAUAAAGUUCCUCCUUUCUGCAGUUUCAGAAAGCUUAGACGAGCUUGUGUCUGCUAUUGCAUACAAAUUAGGAACAGAAAACGAGAAGGGGAAUGUAAACCUUCUGUACGAUGAUGAUGAAGGUGACAGAGUUCUUCUGGCUACCGAUGGUGAUCUCGUUGCAGCGAUUGAGCAUGCCAGAUCAGCCGGUUGGAAGGAACGUGUGGUCAAAUAUGGCGUGGAAUUGAGUGACGUAAUUCCACAUUAUUGCGAAAGGUCAAGAACCUCCUGGAAGGUUCUCACAACUAGAUCAGUUGAUCGCCUUAACGGGGCGACCAAGCUAGAUCACUCGCUCGCUGCGGGCAUCGACAUUACGACGAAAUGA
Molecule: ribosomal RNA, 978 nt
Filed under: Triticum aestivum (bread wheat)
Lineage: Eukaryota; Viridiplantae; Streptophyta; Magnoliopsida; Poales; Poaceae
Description: partial small subunit ribosomal RNA
Source: RNAcentral